GACGGAAGGUGCAAGCGUUGCUCGGAAUCACUGGGCGUAAAGGGUGCGUAGGCGGCCGUGCAAGUCUGGCGUGAAAGCCCCGGGCUCAGCCCGGGAAGUGCGCUCGAAACUGCACGGCUCGAGUGCCGGAGGGGAGAGUGGAAUUCCUGGUGUAGCGGUGAAAUGCGUAGAUAUCAGGAGGAAUACCGGUGGCGAAAGCGACUCGCUGGACGGCAACUGACGCUGAGGCACGAAAGCGUGGGGAGCAAACAGG
Molecule: ribosomal RNA, 253 nt
Filed under: uncultured bacterium
Lineage: Bacteria
Description: partial 16S ribosomal RNA
Rfam family: Bacterial small subunit ribosomal RNA
Source: RNAcentral